CCGGAAGGCCGGACGGCCGCUUGCCGCAAGGCGGGAGGAAAGUCCGGGCUUCAUGGAAACAGGAUGCCGGGUAACGCCCGGGCGGGGCAACCCGACGGAUCAGUGCAACAGAAAACAAACCGCCGAUGGCCAAAGUUUUAUAGCUUGGGCACAGGUAAGGGCGAAACGGUGCGGUAAGAGCGCACCGCGGACCUGGCAACAGGAACGGCAAGGCAAACCCCAUCCGAAGCAAGACCAAAUAGGGGCGGCAUAUAUCGUGUUUCCGCGAUGUCGCCCGGGUAGGUUGCUAAAGGCCUUUGGUAACAAAGGAACGAGAGGAAUGGUCGUCGAAGCUCCGCAAGGGGUGGAACAGAACCCGGCUUAUAGGCCCUCCGGCCAU
This 379-nucleotide RNase P RNA is filed under the name Micavibrio aeruginosavorus. RNAcentral describes it as "RNase P RNA component class A". It matches the Rfam family "Bacterial RNase P class A". From Rfam's summary of the family: Ribonuclease P (RNase P) is a ubiquitous endoribonuclease, found in archaea, bacteria and eukarya as well as chloroplasts and mitochondria. Its best characterised activity is the generation of mature 5'-ends of tRNAs by cleaving the 5'-leader elements of precursor-tRNAs. Lineage: Bacteria; Pseudomonadati; Bdellovibrionota; Bdellovibrionia; Bdellovibrionales; Pseudobdellovibrionaceae. The record is from RNAcentral.